This 83-nucleotide transfer RNA is filed under the name Merluccius polli (Benguela hake). It matches the Rfam family "tRNA". Rfam says of the family: Transfer RNA (tRNA) molecules are approximately 80 nucleotides in length. The record is from Rfam by way of RNAcentral. Lineage: Eukaryota; Metazoa; Chordata; Actinopteri; Gadiformes; Merlucciidae.
GAUAGCGUGGCCGAGCGGUCUAAGGCGCUGGAUUUAGGCUCCAGUCUCUUUGGAGGCGCUGCGUUCGAAUCCCACCGCUGUCA